Long non-coding RNA from Vidua chalybeata, 581 nucleotides. RefSeq lists it as uncharacterized. The record is from RefSeq and is a predicted model, not a curated record. The transcript is spliced from 2 exons. Lineage: Eukaryota; Metazoa; Chordata; Aves; Passeriformes; Viduidae.
GUAUAGAUCACAGGGGAACUUUGAAAUGCUCGAUUAAGUAUUGAAGUAGCCAUCACACAGUCCGUAACCCCUGACUGUUACAGAAGCCCCAUGCAGGCAGGUACCGCUCGGGCUGCAGCAUCCCCUGAUGUCCAGUACCCGGCAGGAGCGCGAGUCACCGCGCGGCGAGGGACCGGGCACAGCGGCCCGCUCCCGGAACGGGGCCAGCGCCGCGCAAUCCCGCCGGCUGCGGGCUCAGGUGGUGCAGCUUCCCGGCAAGGCUUGUGCCCUGCAGCGUGGGUGGCCCUGGCUCCGCAGGGCUGUGACCCGCGGCGCACGGACCUGCGUGGGGUGACGGCCCCACGGGGACGCUCCAGGGCGGCGAUAUCCCCCGGGGCUGUCGGAGGGUGAAGAACAAAGGAGCAACGCGAGGAUAUGCUCAUUGCGGCGCGUUCCGACUGUCCCUGACCGGGUCUGAAACAAAACCGGGCGGGUAAAUACCCGACAGUGAAACGCUUUGUGCGCCGGGAGCUCGUAAGAUGAAAUGAGACUUUCUGCUGCGGUUGUUUGUCAGGCUAAAAUAAUAAUUGCAUCGAAAUUCA